RNAcentral lists this unclassified non-coding RNA (219 nucleotides) under Hevea brasiliensis (rubber tree). The record is from RNAcentral. Lineage: Eukaryota; Viridiplantae; Streptophyta; Magnoliopsida; Malpighiales; Euphorbiaceae.
AAAGAAAAAACUAUUGAAGAAGUGAAAUCUAUGCUUCUCCUUGGGAUCUAUCUGGCUCUUCAAAUACUGGAUGUAAAAGUCAAUGAUUGUGUCAUUGACAAACGUCUCUGGUUGCAGCAAGUCAACAUCCCUCUUACUAAUGGAAACAGCAUCUGGAUCUCCUUUGGGAUAGACAACUUCUUCAAAAGGCUCAUCAAAGUUGGGAAAAUAGUGUCUCUG